RNAcentral lists this ribosomal RNA (640 nucleotides) under Bacillus altitudinis. Its description in RNAcentral is "bacterial SSU rRNA". It matches the Rfam family "Bacterial small subunit ribosomal RNA", at positions 79 to 705 of the family's 1533-position model. The record is from RNAcentral. Lineage: Bacteria; Bacillati; Bacillota; Bacilli; Caryophanales; Bacillaceae.
UUGCUCCCGGAUGUUAGCGGCGGACGGGUGAGUAACACGUGGGUAACCUGCCUGUAAGACUGGGAUAACUCCGGGAAACCGGAGCUAAUACCGGAUAGUUCCUUGAACCGCAUGGUUCAAGGAUGAAAGACGGUUUCGGCUGUCACUUACAGAUGGACCCGCGGCGCAUUAGCUAGUUGGUGAGGUAACGGCUCACCAAGGCGACGAUGCGUAGCCGACCUGAGAGGGUGAUCGGCCACACUGGGACUGAGACACGGCCCAGACUCCUACGGGAGGCAGCAGUAGGGAAUCUUCCGCAAUGGACGAAAGUCUGACGGAGCAACGCCGCGUGAGUGAUGAAGGUUUUCGGAUCGUAAAGCUCUGUUGUUAGGGAAGAACAAGUGCAAGAGUAACUGCUUGCACCUUGACGGUACCUAACCAGAAAGCCACGGCUAACUACGUGCCAGCAGCCGCGGUAAUACGUAGGUGGCAAGCGUUGUCCGGAAUUAUUGGGCGUAAAGGGCUCGCAGGCGGUUUCUUAAGUCUGAUGUGAAAGCCCCCGGCUCAACCGGGGAGGGUCAUUGGAAACUGGGAAACUUGAGUGCAGAAGAGGAGAGUGGAAUUCCACGUGUAGCGGUGAAAUGCGUAGAGAUGUGGAGGA